UGAGAAGUGGACAAGCCAUCUGAAUG
This 26-nucleotide non-coding RNA is filed under the name Homo sapiens (human). The record is from RNAcentral. Lineage: Eukaryota; Metazoa; Chordata; Mammalia; Primates; Hominidae.